GCAAGUCGAGGGGUAACAGGGUUGCUUGCAACCGCUGACGACCGGCGCACGGGUGCGUAACGCGUAUGAAACCUACCUUUUACAGGGAAAUAGCCCCGAGAAAUUUGGAUUAAUACCCCAUAGUUCUAUAAUCCCGCAUGGUAUACUAGAUAAAGUUUCGGCGGUAAAAGAUGGUCAUGCGUGGCAUUAGCUAGUUGGUAAGGUAAAGGCUUACCAAGGCGACGAUGUCUAGGGGGUCUGAGAGGAAGGUC
RNAcentral lists this ribosomal RNA (251 nucleotides) under uncultured bacterium. RNAcentral describes it as "partial 16S ribosomal RNA". It matches the Rfam family "Bacterial small subunit ribosomal RNA", at positions 57 to 305 of the family's 1533-position model. The record is from RNAcentral.